GUGCUUGCUUCGGCAGCACCUACGCUAAAAUUCGAACAAUACAGAGAAGAUUAGCAUGUCCCCUGCACAAGGAUGACAAGGAAAUUUGUGAAGUGUUCCAUAUUUUU
Molecule: small nuclear RNA, 107 nt
Organism: Loxodonta africana (African savanna elephant)
Lineage: Eukaryota; Metazoa; Chordata; Mammalia; Proboscidea; Elephantidae
Source: Ensembl